AAAAAUACCUAGGGGUGAGAGAGAAAGCAGAGAUAGAAAGUAAAGGAGUGGGGGAGUAGGAGGAUGCAGGACGAGAGGGAGAGAGAACUGAUUACAUUGGAGAAAGCAAAAGAGGUGUACGGGCACAAGAGAGAGAGAGAGAGAGAGAGAGAGAGAGAGAAACAGACGGGAAGGUGGGGGAGUAAAUGCAGCUUGCCUUCCCUGUGUCCCAAAAUCCCAGUCAGGUCCACGGGCAGGCGGAAGAAUUGGACCUGAAUCAACAAAUGGACACAGAGAAACUGGAUAUAGUCCGGCUACGAGGAGAAAAUAAAGGAGAAGAAAGCGUGCGGCUUCGUGUUCUUUAAUGUCUCCAUCAUAUCCUGCUGUGAGGGAGCCACAGGACGGGGAGAGAGAGAGAGAGAGAGAGAGAGAGAGAGAGAGAGAGAGAGAGAGAGAGAGAGAGAGAGAGAGAGAGAAAACAGCGGACUUUGCCUGCACCCUUGGAUGCCAAGGAGCUGUGAGCUAGAAUCGAGUGGACUGUGGGACCUGCUUUGACUGAAUGCAUAUGCACAAUGGGCAGCCUUGCAGAAAAGGGCACCAAAUAGACAAAAUGGACACUAACAGACACCCUCCAGCAACAAGCGCUCCACACCUGAGAACCGUCACCUCAUCCAGCCGUUGGCGAGAACCGCCCCAGCACGGGGCCAGUCAGCAGAGUUGAGGCUGGACAAUUCACAGCGGGUCUCCAAAAAGAGGAAAUACAUAAACGUAGCAGGCAACAAGCCUCAGAGGAGUCCAAUUACAACAACACAACCCCGCUUUAGAUCAUUUGACUGAGGUUCUUGGACUUUGUCAGAAAUUAAAUAGUCAAAAGUGAUGCUUGAGCAGUGGUAUGGAGCUUUUGGACAUGUCCGGAUUUAUCGACCAGUUAUCCUCCUGAGAUUACGACAUUUUUGUGCACACUUCAGACCUGGG
Molecule: long non-coding RNA, 954 nt
Organism: Thalassophryne amazonica
Lineage: Eukaryota; Metazoa; Chordata; Actinopteri; Batrachoidiformes; Batrachoididae
Exons: 3
Source: RefSeq, a predicted model, not a curated record